This 254-nucleotide ribosomal RNA is filed under the name uncultured bacterium. RNAcentral's name for it is "partial 16S ribosomal RNA". It matches the Rfam family "Bacterial small subunit ribosomal RNA", at positions 524 to 776 of the family's 1533-position model. The record is from RNAcentral.
UACGUAGGGUCCGAGCGUUGUCCGGAUUUAUUGGGCGUAAAGAGCUCGUAGGCGGUUCCGUAAGUCAGAUGUGAAAACUCAGGGCUCAACCCGGAGACGCCAUCUGAUACUGCGGUGACUGGAGUCUGGUAGGGGAACACGGAAUUCCUGGUGUAGCGGUGAAAUGCGUUGAUAUUGGGAAGAACACCUGAGGCGAAGGCGGGUUGCUGGGCCGACACUGACGCUGAGGCGCGAAAGCCAGGGGAGCGAACGGG